Panicum virgatum (switchgrass) is the source of this 2208-nucleotide RNA transcript. RefSeq lists it as uncharacterized. Lineage: Eukaryota; Viridiplantae; Streptophyta; Magnoliopsida; Poales; Poaceae. The record is from RefSeq and is a predicted model, not a curated record. The transcript has 7 exons.
UUCGCCUUCUCCCCUCCAUCGAUUCGUCUCCACUCCACUUCUCUCCCAUGGCGUCGGCGGCGAUUCUCCGCUCCGCCGCCCGCUCGCUGCGCCUCCUGCAGCCCCUGGAGCAGUCGGGGUGCCUGCUGGGACGGCGCGCCAUCGUUGGGGACCUGAGCCCCAGCACGCGCCUGCUCAGCAGCUCCGUGCCCACCGAGGUAUUCAGUCCCCCCUCCUGGUGUUCCCUCUGGGGUCUCCACUGGUUAGGGCAUGCAUGUCAAGGUGGGCGAACUGGCGAGCUGUGACCCAUGGGUUCCUCGAUUCGGGCCAGGAAUAGUAGGUCUACUCGUGCGACCUGUUGAUCCACGUUACCUGCAGCCUUAUCUUCAGAAAGUUUAUUAAUGUUAUUAGCCUUUGGGCUUUACUGGACUUCGAUUCCACUGAAAUUGUCAAUGUUCAGGUCCGCGGCUCCUUGUUGUCUUGCUCUUCUGCAGCUAGGGCACAUGGUGUUAGGUUUGGGUUAGGAUUAGGUUUGCACGGGGUCGGAAGGGGUGGCCAGAGGUGGCUGCUGCGCCUUUUAUUUUACAGAGUAUAUCCUGACUUCGCCUGUGAUUGAUUGUAAACUAGAGACAGACGUUGUAAAACUCUUGUCUUGUUUAAACAUACGUGUAUGCAAUGACUUAGGUGAAAAAUUGAUUAUAAGUUGUUGAUUGUUGAUGAUAAAAAUGAUUACAAGUGCAAGUGCUAGAUGGGUGUAAAAGGAAAAGGUGUGCCUGGAGUUGCCUGAAUAAUCUGAGCAUUUGAAACUGGGGGACUCAGUAUGCACAUCAAAAUCGUUCAAGGAGCACCAUCGAACAGAAAAGUCUCACCAACAAGAAGACAGAAGACAUUUACCAACGAAUAUCAACAAAGUUCGAUAAAAUUUCAGCUGGCUUGGACGAACAAUCUCGUUUGCUUAAACAAAUCGAGGUUCAGAUGGAAGAAAAUAAUAAGCGUCGCGGAGCGAUAGACCUUACACCAUGGGUUGUGUCUAUACCUGUCUCGUUCCUUCUGGUUGCCCUUUAUAAUUAUGUACAGAGCUGACUGAUUCGAGAGCAGGAAAAUUGGGAGGUGCAAUUUAACUUGUGUGAACUCUCAGUUUCUUUUGGAAGUGGAGUGAUGUAGUGCCUUAGAUGUUCUAUGGUAUUGAAAGGUUUAAUUUAAUAAAGUGAUUUGUGAUCAAUGCUUUUUGGCUGUUCCUUUGGUUGCUUAUUGUUCUGCACUGAACUGAAUGUAAGAUCAGGUUGAAGGGAGGGCUUUGUGUGGAUUUAUGUGAGCUGUACACAUUAACGCCAAUGCAUUUUGUUAGUAAGGUGUUAAUAAAUAGUGAUACCAUCUUCCACCCAGAAUUUUUGCUGGGUUUACGGUGAUGUCCAUAUAUUAUUGUUUUUUAUUUACACUCCUUGUUGACUUGCAUUUGGGAGACUUCUUUUCAGUGGACAAAUAAACACGUAAUAUUAUGUGUUUGCAAGAAUCUGUACUCUUAGAAUGAUCAGAUGCACUCGAGGGGCUGUGGCUGGAUGCCUUCUGAACGCAGCUGCUUGUCUGCCUCCUCUACUGAUCCAUGAAUGUUAAGCCCCCAGGAGGCAACACCCACCCCCACCAGCUAAGGAUAUCAGUGAUCUUCUUAAGCUGCUGAAUGAAGUGGAAUUAACCAGUGGACGAGUGGAGGCUGAAACAGGCCUUUCAUGAAGUCCAAUUAUGUUGCUUAAUGUUCGUCAUCAACGUAGCGCUGCUCACAUUGGAAAUUACCUCGAAUAUCAAAACUUUCAGUAUGAUCAGUGGAGAUACAUACUGAAGGUUCUGUACAAGAAAGUUGGGCUUUUCAAAGAGGCGAUGGACCUGCAAAUCAAAGAGAUCAUACGGCCGGCAGCAACCGUACUAGAACGGAUCUCCAAGAACUUCGACAAAUUAGACCAAAUCUAUGAUAAACAGCUUAUUAGUUUAAAGCGACUCGAAGAUGUGAUGCGAGAGAAUAUCAAGCGUGACAGGCGUAGAAAAGUGUUAGUGUGUGGUAUUGUCUUCAUCGGCAUUGCCGUUUUCGUGAAAAAACAAUUCUUUGGUGCGAGUCAAGAGGACAAGGCGAUAAGCAAGAGCACUUAGACCCUUAAGAGGGCAUGCCUAUAUGUAGAGACCUUAAUUAUUGUAACAAAAGCUUAUGCUUGCGUUUGAUUAUACAUGCAUGUGAUA